Molecule: long non-coding RNA, 512 nt
Filed under: Physcomitrium patens
Lineage: Eukaryota; Viridiplantae; Streptophyta; Bryopsida; Funariales; Funariaceae
Description: long non-coding RNA (PPAT_LNC000913)
Source: RNAcentral
AAUAAAUAUACUAAAAUAGAAAUCUUAAUAAAAUAUUAAAAUAAAAAUAUUAAUUAAAUUCUAAUCAGAAACUUAUCAAAACUUUAAUCAAACCUUAGUCAAAUCUUAAUAAAAUCCUUAUCAAAUCUUAAUCAACUCUUAAAUAAGCCCUAACCAAAUCCUAGACAAAUCCUAGUCAAAUCCUAAUCAAACUCUAAUAAAAUCUUAAUCAAAUUCUAGUCAAAUUCUAAUCAAAUCUCAAUCAAAUCCUAAUAAAAUCCUAAUCAAAUUCUAGUCAAAUUUUAAUAAAAUCUUAAUCAAAUUCUAGUCAAAUUCAAAUCAAAUCUCAAUCAAAUCUUAAUAAAAUCUUAGUCAAAUUCUAAUCAAAUCUCAAUCAAAUCCUAAUAAAAUCCUAAUCAAAUUCUAAUCAAAUUUCAAUCAAAUCCUAAAAAAAUCCUAAUAAAAUCUUAGUCAAAUCUUAGACAUAUCCUAAAUAAGCCAUAACCAUAUCCUAGACAAAUUCUAAUCAAAUU